Molecule: ribosomal RNA, 887 nt
Filed under: human gut metagenome
Description: bacterial SSU rRNA
Rfam family: Bacterial small subunit ribosomal RNA
Source: RNAcentral
AGAGUUUGAUCCUGGCUCAGGAUGAACGCUAGCUACAGGCUUAACACAUGCAAGUCGAGGGGAAACGAUAUUGGAAGCUUGCUUCCGAUAGGCGUCGACCGGCGCACGGGUGAGUAACGCGUAUCCAACCUGCCCAUCACUUGGGAAUAACCUUGCGAAAGUAAGACUAAUGCCCAAUGACAUUUAUAGAAGGCAUCCGAAAUGAAUUAAAGAUUUAUCGGUGAUGGAUGGGGAUGCGUCUGAUUAGCUUGUUGGCGGGGUAACGGCCCACCAAGGCGACGAUCAGUAGGGGUUCUGAGAGGAAGGUCCCCCACAUUGGAACUGAGACACGGUCCAAACUCCUACGGGAGGCAGCAGUGAGGAAUAUUGGUCAAUGGGCGAGAGCCUGAACCAGCCAAGUAGCGUGCAGGAUGACGGCCCUAUGGGUUGUAAACUGCUUUUAUAGGGGAAUAAAGUGAGCCACGUGUGGUUUUUUGCAUGUACCCUAUGAAUAAGGACCGGCUAAUUCCGUGCCAGCAGCCGCGGUAAUACGGAAGGUCCGGGCGUUAUCCGGAUUUAUUGGGUUUAAAGGGAGCGUAGGCCGGAGAUUAAGCGUGUUGUGAAAUGUAGAUGCUCAACAUCUGCACUGCAGCGCGAACUGGUUUCCUUGAGUACGCAUAAAGUGGGCGGAAUUCGUGGUGUAGCGGUGAAAUGCUUAGAUAUCACGAAGAACUCCGAUUGCGAAGGCAGCUCACUGGGGCGCAACUGACGCUGAAGCUCGAAAGCGCGGGUAUCGAACAGGAUUAGAUACCCUGGUAGUCCGCGCGGUAAACGAUGGAUGCCCGCUGUUGGGCCAACUGGUUCAGCGGCCAAGCGAAAGCAUUAAGCAUCCCACCUGGGGAGUACGC